AUCCCAUGAUGAGGACACUUACGAAGUAACUCCUUGAAUUGUUCCCAAGCCUAAUACAAAGACUUGUCAUCCAAUUGUUGGAAAGUUGUGCUCUCGUUCCUCAACUU
Gossypium hirsutum (cotton) is the source of this 107-nucleotide non-coding RNA. NCBI's taxonomy places the organism in Eukaryota, Viridiplantae, Streptophyta, Magnoliopsida, Malvales, Malvaceae. The record is from Rfam.